Long non-coding RNA from Brassica napus (rape), 546 nucleotides. RefSeq lists it as uncharacterized. The record is from RefSeq and is a predicted model, not a curated record. NCBI's taxonomy places the organism in Eukaryota, Viridiplantae, Streptophyta, Magnoliopsida, Brassicales, Brassicaceae. The transcript has 2 exons.
AAUAAAUUAAAUAAUAACAAAUUGACUCUCUCGGGACAAAAAAGGAUUAGGGUUCUAACAAAAUCAAGAUAUUUCACCAGAGGAACACAGGUGAGAAGACGUCUACGAACUACCGAGCAUAUUGUAUUCUUAUUAUUUGUCCCUACCACCAAUUCUUUCCGAUUACUGAUUCUUUUUUCUUUUCAAUUGAUCUCAUUGAAAAAAAAAACAAAUUUCCCCGACGAUCCUCUGAUUCAUCUGCAAAUCAUUGUCCUCAAAUGGCUUUGGGGAAGAGACGCGGUGGAUUGGUGAUUGCUGGCUGAAUGAUUCCAAAACUGAUACGGAUACAGAUAACUGAAGAAUCGAACAUAUAUUGUUUCAGUAUGAUGGAUCUAUUGUGUUUCAGUACUGUCCAGGGUCCAGGGAGCAAUGAUCGUGUAACAUAGUUUCUAUUGUAUUUUUGUUAAAUGUUAAGCUAAUGUAAUUAAGGUAAUAUAAUUUGAAUGAACAUUGGAGAACGACAUUAUUAAGGGUGGACUGUCAAUGGCAUUUGUUGUAAAUUCUCUA